Molecule: ribosomal RNA, 366 nt
Filed under: uncultured Glomeromycotina
Lineage: Eukaryota; Fungi; Glomeromycota
Description: LSU rRNA
Source: RNAcentral
UUGAAAGGGAAACGAUUGAAGUCAGUCGUACCGACGAGAAAUCAGCUUUUCGAAUGUGCAUUUGUGGGCGUAUGAGAUCUUCAUUGUUUGCAAUAUGUAUGUUUCUUUGGUGUACUUUUUCGUAUGGUAGGUCAACGUCGGUUUUGGACGCCAUAAAAUGAUCGGAGGAAUGUAGCUUCGACCUCGGUUGAAGUGUUAUAGCCUUUGGUAAAUGUGGUGAUUAAGACCGAGGAUUGCAACGAAUACCUUUUAGGCUAUCCGUCUGACUUCUGAAAGUUACUUAGGUGCCGAAAGCUUGCUUACGGUCAUUUAAGUUGACGGUCAAUAGGUUAGAACGUGAUUACAUUCGUUAAGGAUGUUGACGUA